AGAGUUUGAUCCUGGCUCAGGACGAACGCUGGCGGCAUGCCUUACACAUGCAAGUCGAGCGGCAGCGCGGGGGCAACCCUGGCGGCGAGCGGCGCACGGGUGAGUAAUGCAUCGGAACGUGUCCUCUUGUGGGGGAUAACCAGUCGAAAGACUGGCUAAUACCGCAUGAGCACGAGAGUGGAAAGCGGGGGACCGUAAGGCCUCGCGCGAGAGGAGCGGCCGAUGCCGGAUUAGCUAGUUGGUGGGGUAACGGCCCACCAAGGCGACGAUCCGUAGCUGGUUUGAGAGAACGACCAGCCACACUGGGACUGAGGCACGGCCCAGACUCCUACGGGAGGCAGCAGUGGGGAAUUUUGGACAAUGGGGGCAACCCUGAUCCAGCCAUGCCGCGUGAGUGAAGAAGGCCUUCGGGUUGUAAAGCUCUUUCGGACGGAACGAAAUCGCGCGGGCGAAUAUCCCGCGUGGAUGACGGUACCGUAAGAAGAAGCACCGGCUAACUACGUGCCAGCAGCCGCGGUAAUAC
Molecule: ribosomal RNA, 523 nt
Filed under: uncultured bacterium
Lineage: Bacteria
Description: bacterial SSU rRNA
Rfam family: Bacterial small subunit ribosomal RNA
Source: RNAcentral